GAUCGUUCAAGCAGAGACAAGGGGGUGAAACCCUAGUUUCACCAAAUCCAUCCAAUUGAGAAGGAAAUUCAAGGAAAAAUCGAAUGCAUGAAACCCUAUUUCGAGCAUCAAACCUUGCUCAUUAAAAUGAAGAAAGUUCAAGCACUAAGAAAACGGAAGACACGCAUGAUCGAGGUAAAGCACCUCUAUAGGCGAUUUGGAGGUAUGGGACGAGCACAUGUUCAAGCCUUAUAAUACCAAGCGCUUCCGCAACUUAUAUGCAUGCUUUCGGGUCCAUGUUUUGUUACUUGGUUAAACUUUGUUGAAUUGUUUUAGAUUUGAAAACUCGUUAUUUUUGUUGGAAUGGUUUUAUGUAAAAUGGGUCGUAUGUAAACGUUGUAUGUUAUGUCAAAACAGGGGGUAUGUCCGUUUUACAAACGGGUCAUGCCCAAUUUUUGUAAAAAUUUCUAUUAAGUGUCAAAGUGGUAUUU
Molecule: long non-coding RNA, 470 nt
Filed under: Helianthus annuus (common sunflower)
Lineage: Eukaryota; Viridiplantae; Streptophyta; Magnoliopsida; Asterales; Asteraceae
Source: RNAcentral